CCCGCCCGGGAACUACGAGCAAAGCUUAAAACCCAAAGGACUUGGCGGUGCCCUAUUCCACCUAGAGGAGCCUGUUCUUUAAUCGAUAAUCCACGAUUCACCUCACCAUUUCUUGCCUAAACCGCCUAUAUACCGCCGUCGUCAAUUUACCCUUUGAAGGGACCAUAGAAGGUUAAAAGGUUGCCCACCAAAACGUCAGGUCAAGGUGUAGCGAAUGAAAUGGGAAGAAAUGGGCUACAUUUUCUAUUAUAGACCAAACGGAUAAUCAGUAUGAAAUCUGAACAUGAAGGAGGAUUUAGUAGUAAAAAGAAAUCAUCAAGUUCUUUUUAACAUGGCCCUAGGGCGUGCACACACCGCCCGUCGCUCUCUUCGACUCUUCCCCCUUUUUUACCUAAUAAAUAUCUUGAAUCUAGAAGAGAUAAGUCGUAACAUGGUAAGUAUACCGGAAGGUGUACUUGGA
This 460-nucleotide ribosomal RNA is filed under the name Leptobrachium montanum (mountain spadefoot toad). Its description in RNAcentral is "partial 12S rRNA". It matches the Rfam family "Bacterial small subunit ribosomal RNA", at positions 868 to 1522 of the family's 1533-position model. Lineage: Eukaryota; Metazoa; Chordata; Amphibia; Anura; Megophryidae. The record is from RNAcentral.